Molecule: transfer RNA, 73 nt
Filed under: Camelus bactrianus (Bactrian camel)
Lineage: Eukaryota; Metazoa; Chordata; Mammalia; Artiodactyla; Camelidae
Also listed under: 2 other names
Rfam family: tRNA
About the family: Transfer RNA (tRNA) molecules are approximately 80 nucleotides in length.
Source: Rfam by way of RNAcentral
GAGGGUAUAGCUUAAGUGGUAGAGUGCAUGCUUAGCAUGCAACAUGUCCUGGGUUCAAUCCCCAGUACCUCCU